This 802-nucleotide long non-coding RNA is filed under the name Lathyrus oleraceus (garden pea). Its description in RNAcentral is "Pisum sativum (pea) long non-coding RNA (PSAT_LNC000755)". The record is from RNAcentral. Lineage: Eukaryota; Viridiplantae; Streptophyta; Magnoliopsida; Fabales; Fabaceae.
UUCAUUCCAUAAAUCAUUCAUUCAUAACAUUCAUUUCAUUUUAAUUUUACAACAACCAAAUUCCAAUCCUAUACAUAACCACAUACAUAUAUUCACAUUUGCAUUAUAAUACAUUCAUCCCUAAGCCAACAUCAUUAAUUCAUUUCUACAACAAAAUGGCAACAAGUCUUUAACACAAAUGCAUAGCAUCCCAUUUGAUCAACUAUAUUCCAAGAGCCCAACCACUUUCCAUAACCACUCUUCAAGCCAAUUCUAAAUCCUAUGAACAAACCAAGCAAAUAGCUGUAGCAUCUUUAAAAGCUCCUGACUUUCCCAAGCAGCAACCCAUGAUCCAAGCUAGCAUUCCACAUGACCAUUGUCCAAGUAAUUCCACGAGCAAAGGACUUCACAGCUAAUCCAUCACAGCCCUGCAUAAUAGUAUGAAUUAAGCAACAUUUUCACAACAAAAACCACUUGAGGACCCUACAUGAUACAACUCAGAAACAUUUCAUUCAUUUUUACACUCAAAACCUUCAGAACAAAUUUUCUUUCCAUUCUAACUAACCCAACCACGCUACGAACUAACAUUCACUUCACAUUAACUUCAACAUACAAUAAACCUACAAUUAACAACAAGUUAAAUUCAAAGGUCCAGCAUAAGCUAACAAAUACAAUCAUACAGAAUAACCUAAACUCACCAACUGAACUGAAUCAAAACUCAUAACCAACUCAAAAACAGUUUUUAUUUCCAACUAACUUAUGCAUUUCAAGGGAGAUUUGAGUGAAUUUAAAGUUCAUCUCAUAACAGAAAUUCAGAGCGUAU